This is a long non-coding RNA of Syngnathoides biaculeatus (alligator pipefish), 2855 nucleotides long. RefSeq lists it as uncharacterized. Lineage: Eukaryota; Metazoa; Chordata; Actinopteri; Syngnathiformes; Syngnathidae. The record is from RefSeq and is a predicted model, not a curated record. The transcript is spliced from 3 exons.
ACUGAACAUGUAUAAAUGUGGCCAUGGAAGACCAUUUGAGGAGCCAAUGUCCAAUUAGUGUGGGAUAAAAGGUGGAAGCCAAAAAUUGUUUACAAUAAGGUUGUUUUUUUCAUUCCCUCUGUGAGACAGAGGGACCCAGGCUGGAGACCACAGAGUGGGUGUGGCUAUGCCACGCAAACCUCAGGUCUUUUGACAUUAUACUACGCAAACCAUGAGGUCAGAGGAAGGUUGUUUCUUCCAAGGCACAAAGAAAUGAUUUUUCGCUCGCUCCGUGAGAACAAGCCACAAAUAAUGAACUCUCGAGCCCUCCGCUAUCACGUUUGGAUUCACACGCGUCAACUCCAUUCUGGAGCGGAACAAAAGGGCGCUAGACGAAACAUUGGUGGGGAGGGCACGGCGUGCACCGGACAUGCCAUGUUGGGAUUACACAAGUGUUUUUCAAGUGUUUCAAGUUUUCAAGUUUCUUGCAAAAACCUUUAAGAGGAGUGGAACCAUGACCAAGUAAGAAACCUUUUACAGGUAUGUAUAACAUUACAUACUGUAUAAAUCCCAUUUGGUAACAUUGUAUAAUUUGGGGGGCAUUUUGAUGAUAAAAUUCAAAUGCAUUUCUUAAAAUGAGUCAUUUUCAUAUAGUUAGAACAACAAAUGGAAAGAAAAAUAUCAAAGUAAACUUUUUUUUAUGCUGCCUUGGUUUUGUACGGGUUAAUGUCUCCAAAGUUGAAACAACCACAUUCAAAGUCAUAUUUUUCUAAGUUAUUGACGAUUUUAAAUUUUAGGUAUUAAUAGUGAAGGCAAUCCUUUUGACAAACCAUAUUGCGGUUGAAAUGCAUUUCUUGCACAACAGCAAAGAAAAAAAGUGCAUCUUGUUUAAGGGACACAUCUUCAUUAAAAAAAAAAUCACAAAAUUUACAUGUGUUGCCCCUUAAAUUCUGCAGACACAAACACAUGAAUGAUUCUAACUGCUCAAUACUCCUAUCAAUAUACAAUGAUAAAAGGGUAAAGACAUUUAAUCAGAAUAAGCUUUAAUGGCCAAGUGUGUAAAAACACACAAGAAUUUUUUUUCUCCAGCAGUCGGUGCUACUCACUCACAUCCAUUUAUUUUGCUGUCUGCUAUUGCGUGAAUACAAAAUGGACACCUUAUCCUACCUUCAACUCAUAGAUCCCUCUGGUGUAUUGCAACAACAUAACGAGGCUCGCUCUAACGGCAUUAAUGGUAAAGACAGCUUUGAGUGACAAAGGAGGACUGUUUGUAAAAGAACCAAAACUAAAGAAAGAACCUCUAAGGCACUAAAAUGCUAGGCGUAUUAAGCAACAGGAGAAAAAUCCAUUAAGUCCAAAAAUUAAAUUGCCCUCUUCAGCAAAUCAUGAAAUUUAAUUUUGAACACCUAACAGGAAAUACAUCUUGGCGUUAGAAGGUUGAAAAAUAUUCAGUUACAAUAUUUCUUUUCUUCGAAACAAUUAUAACCUCAUGAUGGAUAACAGCAGCCACUAAUUCAAAUACUCAUAUAAUUUAAAUAGGUUUUCAAAUGGAAAUUCAGUAGGCCAUGGCAAUACCGAUCAAAUUCCAAGAAAAUGACCCAUAUUAGAAGGACUUUGGCGUUACUUCAAAUCAGAAUUGUUUGGCCUUGGCAAAGGUCUGUGAUCGACUUACAUAAAUUCCAAGUGAGUCUAAAAAAACUAAAUAAAUACCACCAUACACAGAAGCAUUCUAGCUCAUCCAUGCUUUAUAUCAACCCAUAUUCAAAUAUGUAUUGAUUUUUCAUCAGUCUGCUGCACGCGUUAAUCCGAGGGGCAAACGUAUUGUUGUGCAGAAAGAAAGGGGAGCCUCAACCCUGCUGCAUUCCAGGUACAGGCCGCCACUACACUCCUUUGUCAGCAUCUGCUCGGCUGAACUAGAAAGCGUUUUGGACUCAAGCCGCACUUUUACUCAGACAUGAAAAGCUGCACCUAAUUCCAACCGUCGCAUGGCUGAUUAACCACAAUUUAUGAUCAAACAGCUGACUUACAGGAUCAACGUAUGACACCCUGCUCGCAGGUCCAUGUGGGCUUUCCUCUGUUCACAGCCACAUACGCUGUUUGUGUCACACCAUCUCCCAAAGUCGGUAACACCGGCCCGUUCAGUGUGUCAGCACACAAAUAUACAGUUAUUAGUGCACUGUGUUUACUAUACAGUCUUAAACAACUUGGUUCUUUGCUGACAAAUGAAGGAAGAAAUAAUGAAAAGGACAAAGCAUAAGCUUCAACAGUCCACUGAACCAGUCAAUUGAUUUAAAAGAUGAAAAACGUCACGCAAAGGUCCAAACUCUGUGGAGGAACUGAUCCCCUUGUGUCAUCAAGCAGCAGUUUAAACCUUAGAAUAAGGACCGAGCAGCUUGAUUCAUCCUGUAAUAUCGAAUGGCAGAGCAGCAGGAAUCAGCACCGAGACUGCAGCCAAGGAGAGUGGAGUAUAUGCACGCCACUCAAAUUGCAAUCUCUUUUUUUUUUUAUUCUAGAGGGCAAUUGUGCUUGUUUGCUAGAUUUAUGUUGCUUUCAUGACACUGAAGUGUAAGUGACUGCAAAGUACGCAAAAUGCCACGUGAUCGGCUUUGUGGACAUUGCAGUAACCUUGUGCGUCUUGAUCUUUAAAUGUGGAAUAGAAUAUUUGAAAUAAAAUCUUGUUUGAAAAUCCUACACAAAAGAAUUCCUUGAAAAGAUGUAUAUAAAGAUUUAUGUAUAAUAGAUGACUGACAUGUUGAAGCCACUUCAUCUUUACAUAAUGUUUCUGAGACUGAUGUGAGAGGAUCAAAGAAGUUUAUGAUGAAAUUAUACGCUUUAAAUCUACAGUCGUGUGACUUGAAAUAAAACCACUGGAAGAA